This 645-nucleotide ribosomal RNA is filed under the name Cortinarius sp. OC02. RNAcentral's name for it is "eukaryotic LSU rRNA". It matches the Rfam family "Eukaryotic large subunit ribosomal RNA", at positions 1 to 627 of the family's 3401-position model. The record is from RNAcentral. Lineage: Eukaryota; Fungi; Basidiomycota; Agaricomycetes; Agaricales; Cortinariaceae.
UGACCUCAAAUCAGGUAGGACUACCCGCUGAACUUAAGCAUAUCAAUAAGCGGAGGAAAAGAAACUAACAAGGAUUCCCCUAGUAACUGCGAGUGAAGCGGGAAAAGCUCAAAUUUAAAAUCUGGCGGUCUUUUGGCUGUCCGAGUUGUAAUCUAGAGAAGUGUUAUCCGCGCUGGACCGUGUACAAGUCUCCUGGAAUGGAGCAUCAUAGAGGGUGAGAAUCCCGUCUUUGACAUGGACUGCCAGGGCUUUGUGAUGCGCUCUCAAAGAGUCGAGUUGUUUGGGAAUGCAGCUCAAAAUGGGUGGUAAAUUCCAUCUAAAGCUAAAUAUUGGCGAGAGACCGAUAGCGAACAAGUACCGUGAGGGAAAGAUGAAAAGAACUUUGGAAAGAGAGUUAAACAGUACGUGAAAUUGCUGAAAGGGAAACGCUUGAAGUCAGUCACGUCGUCCAGGGAUCAACCUUGCUUUUGCUUGGUGCACUUUCUGGUUUGACGGGUCAGCAUCAAUUUUGACUAUUGGAAAAAGGCUCUAGGGAAUGUGGCAUCUUCGGAUGUGUUAUAGCCCUUGGUCAUAUACAAUGGUUGGGAUUGAGGAACUCAGCACGCCGCAAGGCCGGGUUUUAUACCACGUACGUGCUUAGGAUGC